Molecule: ribosomal RNA, 301 nt
Filed under: uncultured bacterium
Lineage: Bacteria
Description: partial 16S ribosomal RNA
Rfam family: Bacterial small subunit ribosomal RNA
Source: RNAcentral
CAGCAGCCGCGGGAACACGUAGGUGGCAAGCGUUGUCCGGAAUUAUUGGGCGUAAAGGGCUCGCAGGCGGUUUCUUAAGUCUGAUGUGAAAGCCCCCGGCUCAACCGGGGAGGGUCAUUGGAAACUGGGAAACUUGAGUGCAGAAGAGGAGAGUGGAAUUCCACGUGUAGCGGUGAAAUGCGUAGAGAUGUGGAGGAACACCAGUGGCGAAGGCGACUCUCUGGUCUGUAACUGACGCUGAGGAGCGAAAGCGUGGGGAGCGAACAGGAUUAGAUACCCGAGUAGUCCCUGUCUCUUAUAC